Long non-coding RNA from Zea mays, 212 nucleotides. RefSeq lists it as uncharacterized. The record is from RefSeq and is a predicted model, not a curated record. NCBI's taxonomy places the organism in Eukaryota, Viridiplantae, Streptophyta, Magnoliopsida, Poales, Poaceae. The transcript has 3 exons.
UGUCUCAUAUGUUUAUCUACAUCUUGUGACAGUUGCUGGUGAAUAAUAGGACAGCAAGCGCCAGUGAAAUAGUUGCUUCAGCACUUCAUGACAAUUGCAAAGCUGUUCUUGUUGGCGAAAGGACUUUUGGCAAGGGCUUAAUCCAAUCUGUAUUUGAACUUCAUGAUGGUUCUGGUAUUAUCGUCACAGUUGGCAAAUACAUGACACCAAAC